Molecule: ribosomal RNA, 116 nt
Filed under: Pteropus alecto (black flying fox)
Lineage: Eukaryota; Metazoa; Chordata; Mammalia; Chiroptera; Pteropodidae
Source: RNAcentral
GUCUACAGCCAUGCCACCCUGAACAAGCUCGAUGUCUGAUCUCAGAAGCUACGUAGGGUUGGGCCUGGUUAGUACUUGGGUAGGAGACCACCUAGGAAGACCAGGUGCUGUAGGCA